AGCUCCAUGUACCAAAUCUGCAGUCUCCCUAUUUUCCACACCCUUUAUUUCCUCUGGAUUACCAACAGCAUCAGUUGGUGAUACCUGUGAACUUUCAUGCAAGGUUUUGUCAUCUAAAACUGAACCAGUAACUUCAUCCGCUAGUUCUGCAACCUUGGGAUUUGCUUGAUCAUCAUGGUCAGCUUUGUUGUCAGCAGAAGAAACAGAUUCCAA
RNAcentral lists this unclassified non-coding RNA (213 nucleotides) under Hevea brasiliensis (rubber tree). Lineage: Eukaryota; Viridiplantae; Streptophyta; Magnoliopsida; Malpighiales; Euphorbiaceae. The record is from RNAcentral.